UGGGGAAUUUUGGACAAUGGGCGAAAGCCUGAUCCAGCAAUGCCGCGUGUGUGAAGAAGGCCUUCGGGUUGUAAAGCACUUUUGUCCGGAAAGAAAUCCUCUGGGUUAAUACCUCGGGGGGAUGACGGUACCGGAAGAAUAAGCACCGGCUAACUACGUGCCAGCAGCCGCGGUAAUACGUAGGGUGCAAGCGUUAAUCGGAAUUACUGGGCGUAAAGCGUGCGCAGGCGGUUUUGUAAGACGGAUGUGAAAUCCCCGGGGCUUAACCUGGGAACUGCAUUCGUGACUGCAAGGCUAGAGUAUGGCAGAGGGGGGUUAGAAUUCCACGUGUAGCAGUGAAAUGCGUAGAGAUGUGGAGGAAUACCGAUGGCGAAGGCAGCCCCCUGGGCCAAUACUGACGCUCAUGCACGAAAGCGUGGGGAGCAAACAGGAUUAGAUACCCUGGUAGUCCACGCCCUAAACGAUGUCAACUAGUUGUUGGGGAUUCAUUUCCUUAGUAACGUAGCUAACGCGUGAAGUUGACCGCCUGGGGAGUACGGUCGCAAGAUUAAAACUCAAAUGAAUUGACGGGGUCAUAGCUGUUUCCU
RNAcentral lists this ribosomal RNA (587 nucleotides) under uncultured bacterium. Its description in RNAcentral is "partial 16S ribosomal RNA". It matches the Rfam family "Bacterial small subunit ribosomal RNA", at positions 355 to 1375 of the family's 1533-position model. The record is from RNAcentral.